GCCCGGUUAGCUCAGUCGGUAGAGCAUUUGACUUUUAAUCAAAAUGUCGGGGUUCGAGCCCCCCAUUGGGCG
RNAcentral lists this transfer RNA (72 nucleotides) under Puccinia triticina 1-1 BBBD Race 1. RNAcentral's name for it is "tRNA-Lys (TTT) (tRNA-Lys-TTT-2-1)". It matches the Rfam family "tRNA". From Rfam's summary of the family: Transfer RNA (tRNA) molecules are approximately 80 nucleotides in length. Their secondary structure includes four short double-helical elements and three loops (D, anti-codon, and T loops). The record is from RNAcentral. Lineage: Eukaryota; Fungi; Basidiomycota; Pucciniomycetes; Pucciniales; Pucciniaceae.